UUAGAGACAGUGAUAGGGAGUAGUAAAUAUAUGAAGUCUUAUAGAGAGAAUACUCUUGGCUGGAAAGUAUUUAGACUAAUAUAUUGAAGCAACCCUUAAGUUAAAACCUUGAAUCUAUUAGAGUAGAGGUUUUCGGUUAUAACCGUUAUUUUGGUAAAGAGACUAUUGUAGUAAAUAGGGUGGUACCGCGGGUAAACUCGUCCCUAAG
Molecule: non-coding RNA, 208 nt
Filed under: Gottschalkia purinilytica
Lineage: Bacteria; Bacillati; Bacillota; Tissierellia; Tissierellales; Gottschalkiaceae
Description: Clostridium purinilyticum T-box sequence
Rfam family: T-box leader
About the family: Uncharged tRNA acts as the effector for transcription antitermination of genes in the T-box leader family.
Source: RNAcentral